RNAcentral lists this ribosomal RNA (327 nucleotides) under uncultured bacterium. RNAcentral describes it as "bacterial SSU rRNA". It matches the Rfam family "Bacterial small subunit ribosomal RNA", at positions 27 to 346 of the family's 1533-position model. The record is from RNAcentral.
GAACGAACGCUGGCGGCGCGCUUAACACAUGCAAGUCGAACGAGAAGGCGUAGCAAUACGCUUGUACAGUGGCGAACGGGUGAGUAAUACGUGGGCGACCUACCCUCGAGUGGGGAAUAACCCGCCGAAAGGCGGGCUAAUGCCGCGUACGCUUCCACUCUUUAUGGAGGUGGAAGGAAAGCCGUGCCGUGGGCACGGCGCUCAAGGAUGGGCUCACGUCCUAUCAGCUUGUUGGUAGGGAACGGCCUACCAAGGCUCCGACGGUAGCUGGUCUGAGAGGACGAUCAGCCACACUGGCACUGCGACACGGGCCAGACUCCUACGGGA